RNAcentral lists this ribosomal RNA (207 nucleotides) under uncultured bacterium. Its description in RNAcentral is "partial 16S ribosomal RNA". It matches the Rfam family "Bacterial small subunit ribosomal RNA", at positions 568 to 774 of the family's 1533-position model. The record is from RNAcentral.
AGCGUAGACGGCUGUGUAAGUCUGAAGUGAAAGCCCGGGGCUCAACCCCGGGACUGCUUUGGAAACUAUGCAGCUAGAGUGUCGGAGAGGUAAGUGGAAUUCCCAGUGUAGCGGUGAAAUGCGUAGAUAUUGGGAGGAACAUCGGUGGCGAAGGCGGGUAACUGGACUGCAACUGACGCUGAGGCGCGAAAGUGUGGGGAGCAAACA